UCUGAAUCUGCGUACGGCUCCGCAAACCGUUGUAACUAUAGCAAGUUCGCCCCGGUGCUGGCCGUAAGGUUGGUGCUGGGGUUAAAUGGAUAACCGUGGUAAUUCUGAGGCUAAUACAUGAACGUACCCCCUGAUCAACUGGGUAACCGGGAGGUUGGGGACAGUGCGGUCAGUCGCAGAUAUUGCUGGGAAUAGACGCACUUUCAAACCACCAUACCAAACGGUUGGGGUGCUGACCUUCGGGGAGGCGCCCUUUCUGGGUGGGCCUUGCUUUGUGCUU
This 280-nucleotide ribosomal RNA is filed under the name Fuligo leviderma. RNAcentral's name for it is "partial small subunit ribosomal RNA". Lineage: Eukaryota; Evosea; Eumycetozoa; Physariida; Physaraceae. The record is from RNAcentral.